AACGCAUCUUGCGCUCUCGGGUAGCCCUGGGAGCAUGCUUCUUUGAGUCUCGUAUCAACACAAACUCAGCUGCGUGCUUUAGCACGCUAGUCUGGACAAUGAGAGUCAGUGCGCGAGCAAUGUCUCUUUAAAUAUAGUGCGCUUCAAAUCAAGCUAGUUGAACGGCCCGAUAGAUGGUGCCUUCAUACCAAACUAGUAUGAUGCAUGAUAAUAUGACUUCAUGUCAUUUAACAUCUUCACAUCAUUACUGGAAGGCUAUUGUCAGGUCAGGCUCCAGUUGUUUCGACUGUAGAUUGGCAUGAUUUGCUCAGUGCUUUCAAAGGAAAACAAAACUAUGAAUUUGAGCUCAGAUGAAGCAAGAUUACCCGCCGAAUUUAA
This 378-nucleotide unclassified non-coding RNA is filed under the name uncultured fungus. RNAcentral's name for it is "sequence contains ITS2". Lineage: Eukaryota; Fungi. The record is from RNAcentral.